Zea mays is the source of this 159-nucleotide non-coding RNA. Lineage: Eukaryota; Viridiplantae; Streptophyta; Magnoliopsida; Poales; Poaceae. The record is from Rfam.
AUACUUACCUGGAUGGGGUCUUAUGGCCGAUCAAGAAGAGCCAUGGCCUAGGCUAGUGGCCUCCAUUGCACUUGGGAGGAGCACUAGUUUACCAUCUCCUCAAAGAGAGUGGACAUCAUAAUUUGUGAUAGAGGGGAUACGCGUUCGCGCGGUCCCUAU